UCCCUGGUGGUCCAGUGGUUACAACUCUGAUCUUUCACUGCUGAGGGCCUGGGUUCAAUCCCUGGUCAGGGAA
This 73-nucleotide transfer RNA is filed under the name Bos taurus (domestic cattle). It matches the Rfam family "tRNA". From Rfam's summary of the family: Transfer RNA (tRNA) molecules are approximately 80 nucleotides in length. Their secondary structure includes four short double-helical elements and three loops (D, anti-codon, and T loops). RNAcentral also lists the same sequence under 8 other names. The record is from Rfam by way of RNAcentral. Lineage: Eukaryota; Metazoa; Chordata; Mammalia; Artiodactyla; Bovidae.